RNAcentral lists this ribosomal RNA (1476 nucleotides) under uncultured Staphylococcus sp. Its description in RNAcentral is "16S ribosomal RNA". It matches the Rfam family "Bacterial small subunit ribosomal RNA". The record is from RNAcentral. Lineage: Bacteria; Bacillati; Bacillota; Bacilli; Caryophanales; Staphylococcaceae.
GAGUUUGAUCAUGGCUCAGGAUGAACGCUGGCGGCGUGCCUAAUACAUGCAAGUCGAGCGAACAGACGAGGAGCUUACUCCUCUGACGUUAGCGGCGGACGGGUGAGUAACACGUGGAUAACCUACCUAUAAGACUGGGAUAACUUCGGGAAACCGGAGCUAAUACCGGAUAACAUGUUGAACCGCAUGGUUCAACAGUGAAAGACGGUCUUGCUGUCACUUAUAGAUGGAUCCGCGUCGCAUUAGCUAGUUGGUAAGGUAACGGCUUACCAAGGCAACGAUGCGUAGCCGACCUGAGAGGGUGAUCGGCCACACUGGAACUGAGACACGGUCCAGACUCCUACGGGAGGCAGCAGUAGGGAAUCUUCCGCAAUGGGCGAAAGCCUGACGGAGCAACGCCGCGUGAGUGAAGAAGGUCUUCGGAUCGUAAAACUCUGUUAUUAGGGAAGAACAAAUGUGUAAGUAACUAUGCACGUCUUGACGGUACCUAAUCAGAAAGCCACGGCUAACUACGUGCCAGCAGCCGCGGUAAUACGUAGGUGGCAAGCGUUAUCCGGAAUUAUUGGGCGUAAAGCGCGCGUAGGCGGUUUUUUAAGUCUGAUGUGAAAGCCCACGGCUCAACCGUGGAGGGUCAUUGGAAACUGGAAAACUUGAGUGCAGAGAGGAAAGUGGAAUUCCAUGUGUAGCGGUGAAAUGCGUAGAGAUAUGGAGGACACCAGUGGGCGAAGCGACUUUCUGGUCUGUAACUGACGCUGAUGUGCGAAAGCGUGGGGAUCAAACAGGAUUAGAUACCCUGGUAGUCCACGCCGUAAACGAUGAGUGCUAAGUGUUAGGGGGUUUCCGCCCCUUAGUGCUGCAGCUAACGCAUUAAGCACUCCGCCUGGGGAGUACGACCGCAAGGUUGAAACUCAAAGGAAUUGACGGGGACCCGCACAAGCGGUGGAGCAUGUGGUUUGAUUCGAAGCAACGCGAAGAACCUUACCAAAUCUUGACAUCCUCUGACCCCUCUAGAGAUAGAGUUUUCCCCUUCGGGGGACAGAGUGACAGGUGGUGCAUGGUUGUCGUCAGCUCGUGUCGUGAGAUGUUGGGUUAAGUCCCGCAACGAGCGCAACCCUUAAGCUUAGUUGCCAUCAUUAAGUUGGGCACUCUAAGUUGACUGCCGGUGACAAACCGGAGGAAGGUGGGGAUGACGUCAAAUCAUCAUGCCCCUUAUGAUUUGGGCUACACACGUGCUACAAUGGACAAUACAAAGGGUAGCGAAACCGCGAGGUCAAGCAAAUCCCAUAAAGUUGUUCUCAGUUCGGAUUGUAGUCUGCAACUCGACUACAUGAAGCUGGAAUCGCUAGUAAUCGUAGAUCAGCAUGCUACGGUGAAUACGUUCCCGGGUCUUGUACACACCGCCCAUCACACCACGAGAGUUUGUAACACCCGAAGCCGGUGGAGUAACCUUUUGGAGCUAGCCGUCGAAGGUGGGAC